RNAcentral lists this ribosomal RNA (400 nucleotides) under Staphylococcus saprophyticus. Its description in RNAcentral is "bacterial SSU rRNA". It matches the Rfam family "Bacterial small subunit ribosomal RNA", at positions 104 to 490 of the family's 1533-position model. The record is from RNAcentral. Lineage: Bacteria; Bacillati; Bacillota; Bacilli; Caryophanales; Staphylococcaceae.
GGGUGAGUACACGUGGGUAACUACCUAUAGACUGGGAUACUUCGGGAAACCGGAGCUAAUACCGGAUAACAUUUGGAACCGCAUGGUUCUAAAGUGAAAGAUGGUUUUGCUAUCACUUAUAGAUGGACCCGCGCCGUAUUAGCUAGUUGGUAAGGUAACGGCUUACCAAGGCGACGAUACGUAGCCGACCUGAGAGGGUGAUCGGCCACACUGGAACUGAGACACGGUCCAGACUCCUACGGGAGGCAGCAGUAGGGAAUCUUCCGCAAUGGGCGAAAGCCUGACGGAGCAACGCCGCGUGAGUGAUGAAGGGUUUCGGCUCGUAAAACUCUGUUAUUAGGGGAGAAACAAACGUGUUAAGUAACUGGUGCACGGCCUUGACGGUAACCUAAACAGAAAG